GACCAGCAAUGAAAGAAAAAAUUGCUUCAGGUGCCCCUAUUUUUGAGACUAUUGUGGCAGGCAGUAGCAGCACCCACAUUGGUACAAGUGGCAGUCAACAAAGUGUGGUGACUCCUCAUUACCUAAAAUCCAAAAUUAGUACACCUCUCAGUACUCCUUACAGAAAAAAGAAGAGUCGUACUGCCGAGGCAACACAUUUAUUGCAGUAAAAAUAAUUUAAUAGACAAAUGAUCCUUUUCAUAUUUAUCACAAUUUCUUAAAAUUUUUGGACAUAUAUGAACCAAUAUAAAGAAAUGUUUAGCCACUCCAUAUUUAAUAUUUUCAAACAUAACAGAUGGCAAUAGUAUUUACAAGUUAUGCCUACCUGGGGACUGCAUUUUUAUGUGGGUGCAGUCCAUAGCUCCUACUACUCUAGGAAAUCUACUGAGGCUAUAAAAUCCAUUGACUACCCUCUUUUCAUCAAUAUCAUUUGUUGGUAUGAAAUUAAAUUUGGCUUUUGCCUAGCUAUGGCCCUGCAAACUUGGUGAACCUAUCGACAGGCUGAGGAUUCACUGACUCCAGCAAAGUCAGCAACACACAACAAAAAUGAACCUGUAGCGAGAUACCUCGGCAUCAUAUACAAUUUACUAGGUGGUAAUAUCGCUCUGUUUCUGAAAAAAUAAAUUAAUAUAAGGUAUGCGAUGAAAACAAAAUGUUUUUUCUGGAAUUAAAGUCUACUUACCUUGUAGAAGGAGGAUAUAUUUCAUGUUCUAUUGAUCUUAAAAUUGUAUUAAACGUUGCUUUUGAAAGGCAAAAUAGAUUAAUAAAAUCAUGGUCAUCGUACAAUUCAAGGUAGUUGACCCUCGUAAAAAAUUUUGGGUCACCGUUGCAUUGCAAUAACUUUGUCAUCAAAUAAUA
This is a long non-coding RNA of Metopolophium dirhodum (rose-grain aphid), 897 nucleotides long. RefSeq lists it as uncharacterized. The record is from RefSeq and is a predicted model, not a curated record. NCBI's taxonomy places the organism in Eukaryota, Metazoa, Arthropoda, Insecta, Hemiptera, Aphididae. The transcript is spliced from 3 exons.